RNAcentral lists this ribosomal RNA (1455 nucleotides) under Triticum aestivum (bread wheat). RNAcentral describes it as "partial small subunit ribosomal RNA". The record is from RNAcentral. Lineage: Eukaryota; Viridiplantae; Streptophyta; Magnoliopsida; Poales; Poaceae.
GAUCAAGAAGAAGUCACUUCUCCACCAAUGGAGGGGUUCACACCUGUUUUUUCAAAGUCUGCAAAGAGAAAAAUGAGGGCUGCUAGAAAGAGGGUUGCUCAGAGUUCUGCAGGAAGGGUUACUCAUGCUCCAGUGUCAGUAAUGAAAGGAAAGAUAGUUGAAGCAGAACCAUCCGACCGCCAUCAAUCCAAGGACAAGGGAAAGAAAGUGGUGUUUGAGAAAUCCGAGUUUCCGCCACUUGUUUACAAGGGAAAAGAGAAGAUGGUAGAGACACUCAACUCCAAGCUACCUGAGAAAAUAGGCGGCGUUGCGGUCAUAUUGCCGUCAGCGUCAUCUUCAACAGGAAGGCCCACCAACGCUCGGAAUAUACUUCGAGCCGAUGCUCCUGAGUUUGUCCCCUCACUGGCCCAUAAACCUACACCAUCAGUUCCUCUGUUUGAAGAAGAACCCAUCUUACGAGAGUCCUUUGAAGGUUCGUUUGAUCCAGUGCGACAUGAACGACGACAGAGAAUUAUCCGUCGAUCUUGGAUUGAUCUUCCAGCUGCCGUAGAUCAAGAGGCGGCGAGCCGACACCGUUCUCAUGUGAGCAAGUCCGUCAAGGGAAGAUUUAAAAACACUCGUCCCAAGAUCCAAUUUCAGAAUCCAAAUGACUCGUCACAGCUUCCCGGCGCAUCCACAUCACAAAAUGAUGAGGGUGGUGCCAUCAUGCGACUAGCGGAGGCCCUGGCCCAAUGGCCUGAGUACCAAGAAUUCAUUCAGCAACAUCCUGAACAUCAAGAAAGGGCGGCGUACAAAGAAAGAGAAAGGGCGGUAAGGGCAAGGUCGGGGUCAAGCAGAGUCCAAGGGGCAGAACAUGCUCCAUCAGAUGAGGACAGUCAGGCUAAAGUGAACAAGUGGCUAUCAAAUCCAUCAAAUGAGGUGGCCACGAGCUUAUCUCCAUGGCCCUCUCAUAAGCAAACCAAGAAUAAAUCAUUCAAGGUGUUCCAAGCAAUGCCAGUUGGUGUCAGGGCGGCGUCAGACAAGACCAGCGAAACAUCCUCCACAUCAACACAUUUCAAGAGGAAGAAGGCACGCAAAACUGUCAUAGAAGGUCCUCGUCGUAGUACACGGAGCCAAAAGGGUUUAGAUUAUGAAGAACUUGGAUCCAGCUGUGGUGGGUCUUAUAAUCCCCUAUCGGACAGUACCCCAUGUCCUUCUGCAAAUGAGAUAGAACUCCACCAUGGUGCAGAGCAUACAGACCAAGUGCUAGCCGCGAAUGAAACUCAUUCGGUUGAGGAUCAAUUAGCCAACCUUACGGCAGCGCUUCAGCAAAAGGAAGACGAGCUAGCAGCCCUUCGAAUUCAGAUGAGCAAUAACCAGAACAAAGGAAAUGAAGGGGAUGGUGGCGCGAGUGCUAACAGCCAACAUGGAGGAGCGGGGCUCAACCUUGAGGCGAUCCAAAGAAUGAUCGCUUAG